AAUUGACAGCGUUUGAUUCUUUCCUGAAAACAAGUCAUAGGAAGACACAACAGUAAAAUCCCAGGGGUGUCCAAGGUUUAAUUCAGUCUCAGUUUGAGAAGUCUGCCUAAAAGCCCGUGCACCAGGAUGCUUGUGAUGACAUGAGCCCCCAUAAAAGUCUGUGAACGUUUCAGCUGAGGACAGUGCCUUGAAGGUAACUCUGCAGGACAGUGAGCAGCUGACGUCUGCAUGGCUCCGAUCACCACUCUGUCACGUCCACGGUUCCUUUAUGCCACGGUGACAGCAGUGCACAGCUCCCUUUUUUUUUUUUUUUUUUUUUUGGUAACAAAUCAGACCUAAAAAAAAAUCCAACAUGUGGUUCUUGUUUCCAGCCCCCACCCCUUAAAGCAGAUUUUUUGUUUUCAAUAAAACCCUCCCCUGGGUUUAAUACUAGCUAUUCAAGAGGCUGAAGUUAGAUGAAUCACAACCCGCUAGCAGCGCUGAAACCGAAGGCAAGGCAGGGCUUUUUGCAGAGCAUCCCCUGCACCGAGUACACGUCUGUAUCGUUACAG
RNAcentral lists this long non-coding RNA (551 nucleotides) under Gallus gallus (chicken). RNAcentral describes it as "lncRNA (ENSGALG00010020738.1)". The record is from RNAcentral. Lineage: Eukaryota; Metazoa; Chordata; Aves; Galliformes; Phasianidae.